RNAcentral lists this ribosomal RNA (392 nucleotides) under uncultured Gammaproteobacteria bacterium. Its description in RNAcentral is "bacterial SSU rRNA". It matches the Rfam family "Bacterial small subunit ribosomal RNA", at positions 370 to 779 of the family's 1533-position model. The record is from RNAcentral. Lineage: Bacteria; Pseudomonadati; Pseudomonadota; Gammaproteobacteria.
AAUGGGGGCAACCCUGAUCUAGCCAUGCCGCGUGAGUGAUGAAGGCCUUAGGGUCGUAAAGCUCUUUCGCCUGUGAUGAUAAUGACGGUAGCAGGUAAAGAAACCCCGGCUAACUCCGUGCCAGCAGCCGCGGUAAUACGGAGGGGGUUAGCGUUGUUCGGAAUUACUGGGCGUAAAGCGCGCGUAGGCGGAUUAGAAAGUUGGGGGUGAAAUCCCGGGGCUCAACCCCGGAACUGCCUCCAAAACUGCUAGUCUAGAGUUCGAGAGAGGUGAGUGGAAUUCCGAGUGUAGAGGUGAAAUUCGUAGAUAUUCGGAGGAACACCAGUGGCGAAGGCGGCUCACUGGCUCGAUACUGACGCUGAGGUGCGAAAGUGUGGGGAGCAAACAGGAUU